Molecule: ribosomal RNA, 406 nt
Filed under: uncultured bacterium
Lineage: Bacteria
Description: partial 16S ribosomal RNA
Rfam family: Bacterial small subunit ribosomal RNA
Source: RNAcentral
AUUGAACGCUGGCGGCAGGCUUAACACAUGCAAGUCGAGCGAGAGGCGGACGGGUGAGUAAUGUCUGGGAAACUGCCUGAUGGAGGGGGAUAACUACUGGAAACGGUAGCUAAUACCGCAUACCAUCAGAUGUGCCCAGAUGGGAUUAGAUAGGAGGUGGGGUAAUGGUUCACCAAGGCGACGAUCCCUAGCUGGUCUGAGAGGAUGACCAGCCACACUGGAACUGAGACACGGUCCAGACUCCUACGGUAGGCAGCAGUGGGGAAUAUUGCACAAUGGGCGCAAGCCUGAUGCAGCCAUGCCGCGUGUAUGAAGAAGGCCUUCGGGUUGUAAAGCACUUUCAGCUGGGAGGCGUUACUCGCAGAAGAAGCACCGGCUAACUCCGUGCCAGCAGCCGCGGUAAUUC